RNAcentral lists this small nuclear RNA (158 nucleotides) under Suricata suricatta (meerkat). RNAcentral's name for it is "U2 spliceosomal RNA (ENSSSUG00005011236.1)". It matches the Rfam family "U2 spliceosomal RNA". Rfam says of the family: U2 is a small nuclear RNA (snRNA) component of the spliceosome (involved in pre-mRNA splicing). Complementary binding between U2 snRNA (in an area lying towards the 5' end but 3' to hairpin I) and the branchpoint sequence (BPS) of the intron results the bulging out of an unpaired adenosine, on the BPS, which initiates a nucleophilic attack at the intronic 5' splice site, thus starting the first of two transesterification reactions that mediate splicing. Lineage: Eukaryota; Metazoa; Chordata; Mammalia; Carnivora; Herpestidae. The record is from Rfam by way of RNAcentral.
AUCGCUUCUCGGCCUUUUGGCUAAGAUCAAGUGCAGUUUCUCUACAUCCUUGUCAGCAUUUGGUAUUAUCACUCUUUUUAGAAUCUUGCUGAUGAAGGGCUUGAUCUCACAACCCUGGGAUCAUGAGCUGAGUGAAAUCAAGAGUCAGGGGGCGCCUG